AUCCAUCUGACGAGUCCCAAAUAAAACGAAGCGUACGUCCUGGAU
RNAcentral lists this non-coding RNA (45 nucleotides) under Schistosoma margrebowiei. Lineage: Eukaryota; Metazoa; Platyhelminthes; Trematoda; Strigeidida; Schistosomatidae. The record is from RNAcentral.